This 504-nucleotide ribosomal RNA is filed under the name uncultured bacterium. Its description in RNAcentral is "partial 16S ribosomal RNA". It matches the Rfam family "Bacterial small subunit ribosomal RNA", at positions 28 to 523 of the family's 1533-position model. The record is from RNAcentral.
GAUGAACGCUAGCUACAGGCUUAACACAUGCAAGUCGAGGGGCAGCGUGACGAUAGCUUGCUAUUGUUGAUGGCGACCGGCGCACGGGUGAGUAACGCGUAUCCAACCUGCCCUUGUCCAUCGGAUAAACCGUCGAAAGGCGGCCUAACACGAUAUGCAGUUCUCAGCAGGCAUCUAACGAGGACGAAAUGUAAAGGAGAAGGAUGGGGAUGCGGCUGAUUAGCUUGUUGGCGGGGUAACGGCCCACCAAGGCGACGAUCAGUAGGGGUUCUGGGAGGGAGGUACCCGACAUUGGAACUGGGACACGGUCCAAACGCCUACGGGAGGCAGAAGUGAGGAAUAUUGGUCAAUGGGCGAGAGCCUGAACCAGCCAAGUAGCGUGCAGGAUGACGGCCCUAUGGGUUGUAAACUGCUUUUAUGCGGGGAUAAAGUGAGCCACGUGUGGCCUAUUGCAGGUACCGCAUGAAUAAGGACCGGCUAAUUCCGUGCCAGCCGCCGCCGUAA